RNAcentral lists this long non-coding RNA (368 nucleotides) under Homo sapiens (human). RNAcentral's name for it is "LHRI_LNC1245.1". Lineage: Eukaryota; Metazoa; Chordata; Mammalia; Primates; Hominidae. The record is from RNAcentral.
GUGGAAACUGGCCGCACACCUCCUGCCUUGCACAAGAUGUCAGGGAAGGGCGGUGGCUUUGGAGGCUUCAGGGAGUGAAUGUCGACGGGGUCUGCAAGAGCUCCCAAUGCCCAAGCUGGAGAAAUUCUAGGAACAAAAUAAAUAAUCGUAGCCCAGAUGCUCCUGGACUGGUGGGGCCACAUCCUGACAACCCAUCGUAAGUUUAAUAUACCCCAGGGACAUGGAUGAAGCUGGAAACCAUCAUUCUGAGCAAACUAUCGCAAGGACAGAAAACCAAACACCGCAUGUUCUCACUCAUAGGUGGGAACUGAACAAUGAGAACACUUGGACACAGGAAGGGGAACAUCAUACACCAGGGCCUGUUGUGG